This 87-nucleotide transfer RNA is filed under the name Candidatus Magasanikiibacteriota bacterium. RNAcentral describes it as "Candidatus Magasanikbacteria bacterium tRNA-Ser". It matches the Rfam family "tRNA". Rfam says of the family: Transfer RNA (tRNA) molecules are approximately 80 nucleotides in length. Their secondary structure includes four short double-helical elements and three loops (D, anti-codon, and T loops). The record is from RNAcentral. Lineage: Bacteria; Candidatus Magasanikiibacteriota.
GGAGAGGUGGCUGAGUGGUUGAAAGCGCCGCUCUCGAAAAGCGGUAUGCCCGCAAGGGCAUCGUGAGUUCGAAUCUCACCCUCUCCG